AUUGAACGCUGGCGGCAUGCUUUACACAUGCAAGUCGAACGGUAACAGGCCUUCGGGUGCUGACGAGUGGCGAACGGGUGAGUAAUGCAUCGGAACGUGCCCAAUCGUGGGGGAUAACGUAGCGAAAGUUACGCUAAUACCGCAUAAGCCCUGAGGGGGAAAGCAGGGGAUCGCAAGACCUCGCGCGAAUGGAGCGGCCGAUGUCAGAUUAGCUAGUUGGUGGGGUAAAGGCCUACCAAGGCGACGAUCUGUGCGGGUCUGAGAGGAUGAUCCGCCACACUGGGACUGAGACACGGCCCAGACUCCUACGGGAGGCAGCAGUGGGGAAUAUUGGACAAUGGGCGCAAGCCUGAUCCAGCCAUGCCGCGUGAGUGAAGAAGG
RNAcentral lists this ribosomal RNA (381 nucleotides) under uncultured bacterium. RNAcentral describes it as "bacterial SSU rRNA". It matches the Rfam family "Bacterial small subunit ribosomal RNA", at positions 29 to 414 of the family's 1533-position model. The record is from RNAcentral.